CCCUUAGAUGUUCUGGGCCGCACGCGCGCUACACUGAUGCAUUCAACGAGUCCAACCUUGACCGAGAGGUCCGGGUAAUCUUUGAAACUGCAUCGUGAUGGGGCUAGAUUAUUGCAAUUAUUAAUCUUCAACGAGGAAUGCCUAGUAAGCGUGAUUCAUCAAAUCGCGUUGAUUACGUCCCUGCCCUUUGUACACACCGCCCGUCGCUCCUACCGAUUGAGUGUGUUGGUGAGGAGUUUGGAUUGGCCUCGGAAGGUGGUUCGCCACCGUCCGUAGCUGAGAAGUUCUCCAAACCGCCCCACUUAGAGGAAGGAGAAGUCGGAACA
RNAcentral lists this ribosomal RNA (326 nucleotides) under uncultured eukaryote. RNAcentral describes it as "partial 18S ribosomal RNA". It matches the Rfam family "Eukaryotic small subunit ribosomal RNA", at positions 1470 to 1796 of the family's 1831-position model. The record is from RNAcentral.